UACGAAGGGGGCUAGCGUUGUUCGGAAUUACUGGGCGUAAAGCGUAUGUAGGCGGAUCGUUAAGUCGGGGGUGAAAUCCCGAGGCUCAACCUCGGAACUGCCUUCGAUACUGGCGAUGUUCGAGUCCGGGAGAGGUGAGUGGAACUCCGAGUGUAGAGGUGAAAUUCGUAGAUAUUCGGAAGAACACCAGUGGCGAAGGCGGCUCACUGGCCCGGUACUGACGCUGAAAUACGAAAGCGUGGGGAGCAAACAGG
This 254-nucleotide ribosomal RNA is filed under the name uncultured bacterium. Its description in RNAcentral is "partial 16S ribosomal RNA". It matches the Rfam family "Bacterial small subunit ribosomal RNA", at positions 524 to 776 of the family's 1533-position model. The record is from RNAcentral.